CCUACGGGGGGCAGCAGUCGAGAAUCAUUCACAAUGGGGGAAACCCUGAUGGUGCGACGCCGCGUGGGGGAAUGAAGGUCUUCGGAUUGUAAACCCCUGUCAUGUGGGAGCAAAUUAAAAAGAUAGUACCACAAGAGGAAGAGACGGCUAACUCUGUGCCAGAAGCCGCGGUAAUACAGAGGUCUCAAGCGUUGUUCGGAAUCACUGGGCGUAAAGCGUGCGUAGGCUGUUUCGUAAGUCGUGUGUGAAAGGCGCGGGCUCAACCCGCGGAGGGCACAGGAUACUGCGUGACUAGAGUAGUGGAGGGGGAACGGGAAGGCGCGGUGUAGCAGUGAAAUGCGUAGAUAUGGAGAGGAACAC
This 360-nucleotide ribosomal RNA is filed under the name uncultured bacterium. RNAcentral describes it as "partial 16S ribosomal RNA". It matches the Rfam family "Bacterial small subunit ribosomal RNA", at positions 338 to 709 of the family's 1533-position model. The record is from RNAcentral.